CAGCCGCCGCGGUAAUACGUAGGGUGCGAGCGUUAAUCGGAUUUACUGGGCGUAAAGCGUGCGCAGGCGGCCCGUUAAGACAGGUGUGAAAUCCCUGGGCUCAACCUAGGAAUUGCGCUUGUGACUGGCGGGCUCGAGUACGGUAGAGGGGGGUGGAAUUCCUGGUGUAGCAGUGAAAUGCGUAGAGAUCAGGAGGAACACCGAUGGCGAAGGCAGCCCCCUGGGCCUGUACUGACGCUCAUGCACGAAAGCGUGGGGAGCAAACAGGAUUAGAUACCCGGGUAGUCCACGCCCUAAACGAUGGGUACUAGCCGUUUGGUGCGCGAUAGCGCUGAGUGGCGAAGCUAACGCGAGAAGUACCCCGCCUGGGGAGUACGGCCGCAAGGUUGAAACUUAAAGGAAUUGGCGGG
This 410-nucleotide ribosomal RNA is filed under the name uncultured microorganism. Its description in RNAcentral is "bacterial SSU rRNA". It matches the Rfam family "Bacterial small subunit ribosomal RNA", at positions 509 to 917 of the family's 1533-position model. The record is from RNAcentral.